Molecule: ribosomal RNA, 482 nt
Filed under: uncultured bacterium
Lineage: Bacteria
Description: partial 16S ribosomal RNA
Rfam family: Bacterial small subunit ribosomal RNA
Source: RNAcentral
AUUGAACGCUGGCGGCAUGCCUUACACAUGCAAGUCGAACGGUAACAGGUCUUCGGAUGCUGACGAGUGGCGAACGGGUGAGUAAUACAUCGGAACGUGCCCGAUCGUGGGGGAUAACGAGGCGAAAGCUUUGCUAAUACCGCAUACGAUCUACGGAUGAAAGCGGGGGAUCUUCGGACCUCGCGCGGACGGAGCGGCCGAUGGCGGAUUAGGUAGUUGGUGGGAUAAAAGCUUACCAAGCCGACGAUCUGUAGCUGGUCUGAGAGGAUGAUCAGCCACACUGGGACUGAGACACGGCCCAGACUCCUACGGGAGGCAGCAGUGGGGAAUUUUGGACAAUGGGCGAAAGCCUGAUCCAGCCAUGCCGCGUGCAGGAUGAAGGCCUUCGGGUUGUAAACUGCUUUUGUACGGAACGAAAAGCCUCUUUCUAAUAAAGAGGGGUCAUGACGGUACCGUAAGAAUAAGCACCGGCUAACUACGUG